Molecule: ribosomal RNA, 500 nt
Filed under: uncultured Glomeromycotina
Lineage: Eukaryota; Fungi; Glomeromycota
Description: partial small subunit ribosomal RNA
Rfam family: Eukaryotic small subunit ribosomal RNA
Source: RNAcentral
CCAAUAGCGUAUAUUAAAGUUGUUGCAGUUAAAAAGCUCGUAGUUGAAUUUCGGGGUUAGUAGAUUGGUCAUGCCUCUGNUAUGCNNUGGNNNNACUGAUUCCUCCUUCCUGAUGAACCGUAAUGCCAUUAAUUUGGUGUUGCGGGGAAACUGGACUGUUACNUUGAAAAAAUUAGAGUGUUUAAAGUAGGCUAACGCUUGAAUACAUUAGCAUGGAAUAAUGAAAUAGGACGUUCGAUCUUAUUUUGUUGGUUUCUAGGAUUGACGUAAUGAUUAAUAGGGAUAGNUGGGGGCAUUAGUAUUCAAUUGUCAGAGGUGAAAUUCUUGGANNNNUUGAAGACUAACUACUGCGAAAGCAUUUGCCAAGGAUGUUUUCAUUAAUCAAGAACGAAAGUUAGGGGAUCGAAGACGAUCAGAUACCGUCGUAGUCUUAACCAUAAACUAUGCCGACUAGGGAUCGGAUGAUGUUAAUUUUUUAAUGACUCAUUCGGCGCCUUACG